Molecule: ribosomal RNA, 519 nt
Filed under: Willistoniella pleuropunctata
Lineage: Eukaryota; Metazoa; Arthropoda; Insecta; Diptera; Sepsidae
Description: partial 16S ribosomal RNA
Rfam family: Bacterial large subunit ribosomal RNA (bases 392-519)
Source: RNAcentral
AAACAUGUCUUUUUGAUUUUAUUUAAANGUCUGACCUGCCCACUGAAUAAUUUAAAUGGCCGCAGUAUACUAACUGUGCAAAGGUAGCAUAAUCAUUAGUCUUUUAAUUGAAGGCUUGUAUGAAUGGUUGGACGAAAUAUUAACUGUUUCAUAAAAAUUUUUAAUAGAAUUUUAUUUUUUAGUCAAAAAGCUAAAAUAUAUUUAAAAGACGAGAAGACCCUAUAAAUCUUUAUAUUUAUUUUAUAUUAAAUUUAUAGAUUAUUUUUUUUAAUAUAAUUGAAAAUAUUUUAUUGGGGUGAUAUUAAAAUUUAAAAAACUUUUAAUUUAUAAAUACAUAAAUUAAUGAAUUUUUGAUCCAUUAUUAGUGAUUAAAAAAUUAAGUUACUUUAGGGAUAACAGCGUAAUUUUUUUGGAGAGUUCAAAUCGAUAAAAAAGAUUGCGACCUCGAUGUUGGAUUAAGAUAUAAUUUUGGGUGCAGAAGUUCAAAUUUUAAGUCUGUUCGACUUUUAAAUUCUUACA